UACGUAGGGGGCAAGCGUUGUCCGGAUUUAUUGGGCGUAAAGAGCGUGUAGGCGGCCUGACAGGUCUGCUGUGAAAACUCGAGGCUCAACCUCGAGAUGUCGGCGGAAACCGUCUGGCUAGAGUCCGGAAGAGGCGAGUGGAAUUCCUGGUGUAGCGGUGGAAUGCGCAGAUAUCAGGAGGAACACCAACGGCGAAGGCAGCUCGCUGGGACGGUACUGACACUAAGGCGCGAAAGCGUGGGGAGCGAACAGG
This 253-nucleotide ribosomal RNA is filed under the name uncultured bacterium. RNAcentral's name for it is "partial 16S ribosomal RNA". It matches the Rfam family "Bacterial small subunit ribosomal RNA", at positions 524 to 776 of the family's 1533-position model. The record is from RNAcentral.